GGAGUCUAGCGUGCUAGCGAGUCAUUGGAUAAAUGCAAGUCACCUAAAGGCGUAAUGAAAGUAAAGAGUUGAUGGGCUGUACAUACAGCAUAUACUACAAUAUUUAUUGUUGUUGUAUAUGUACUUUAUAUAAUUAGUUCCCGCAUACUCGGGGCGUUUUAAUCUCAUUACGAGUUAGAGCGCACCUUGAGCAUGCACGCUGGGACCCGAAAGAUGGUGAACUAUGCCUGGUCAGGAUGAAGUCAGGGGAAACCCUGAUGGAGGUCCGUAGCGAUUCUGACGUGCAAAUCGAUCGUCUGAACUGGGUAUAGGGGCGAAAGACUAAUCGAACCAUCUAGUAGCUGGUUCCCCUCGAAGUUUCCCUCAGGAUAGCUGUUGCUUUUUUGUAUAAAAAAAAUAUGUCUUUUUCUCCCUGGUGUGUGUGUGUGUUCGCACGCGCGCACACACAUAGAAAGAGAUUAAGAGAGAGUUUCAUCUGGUAAAGCGAAUGAUUAGAGUGUAUUGGGGCCGAAACGGCCUCAACCUAUUCUCAAACUUUAAAUGGGUGAGAAGCCCGGCUUAUUUAAUUUAUGUUGUGUGUUGUAUAUGUUGUGAAAUGUAUAUGUAUAUACAGUAUUAAAGCCGGGAAUAUAAUAAUAUUGUACACGCGCGCCUGUACAGAUUUUCUGUACUGUGCUGUGCGUGUAUUAUAUUUUAUGUGAAUGUGAAUCAGAGUAACAAGUG
RNAcentral lists this ribosomal RNA (723 nucleotides) under Eorhipidiini sp. UPOL RK0729. Its description in RNAcentral is "eukaryotic LSU rRNA". It matches the Rfam family "Eukaryotic large subunit ribosomal RNA", at positions 670 to 1128 of the family's 3401-position model. The record is from RNAcentral. Lineage: Eukaryota; Metazoa; Arthropoda; Insecta; Coleoptera; Ripiphoridae.